UACGGAGGGUGCGAGCGUUAUUCGGAAUUACUGGGCGUAAAGCGCGUGCAGGCGGGGGGACAAGUCUGAUGUGAAAGCCCUGGGCUUAACCUGGGAAGAGCAUUGGAAACUGUUUGUCUUGAGUACUGGAGAGGAGGGGAGAAUUCCCGGUGUAGAGGUGAAAUGCGUAGAGAUCGGGAGGAAUACCAGUGGCGUAGGCGGCCUUCUGGACGGUUACUGACGCUGAGAUGCGAAAGCGUGGGGAGCAAACAGG
RNAcentral lists this ribosomal RNA (253 nucleotides) under uncultured prokaryote. RNAcentral's name for it is "partial 16S ribosomal RNA". It matches the Rfam family "Bacterial small subunit ribosomal RNA", at positions 524 to 776 of the family's 1533-position model. The record is from RNAcentral.